UCUCCGUUGGUGAACCAGCGGAGGGAUCAUUACAGGACUCGCAAGACUCCUACAACCCUGUGAACUUAACUAUAAGCACGUUGCUUCGGCGGGUGUCUCGGAGGGGGUUCUCCCUCCCCGAGACACUAAACCCGCCGGCAGCCUACUAUACUCUGUCUCUUUGCGUUGGCAUCUCGAGUACAAUCAAACAAGUUAAAACUUUCAACAACGGAUCUCUUGGUUCUG
This 225-nucleotide unclassified non-coding RNA is filed under the name plant metagenome. RNAcentral's name for it is "partial contains small subunit ribosomal RNA, internal transcribed spacer 1, and 5.8S ribosomal RNA". The record is from RNAcentral.